Molecule: ribosomal RNA, 253 nt
Filed under: uncultured bacterium
Lineage: Bacteria
Description: partial 16S ribosomal RNA
Rfam family: Bacterial small subunit ribosomal RNA
Source: RNAcentral
UACGUAGGGUGCGAGCGUUAAUCGGAAUUACUGGGCGUAAAGCGUGCGCAGGCGGUUUUGUAAGCCAGAUGUGAAAUCCCCGGGCUUAACCUGGGAAUGGCAUUUGGGACUGCAAGGCUCGAGUGCGGCAGAGGAGACUGGAAUUCCUGGUGUAGCAGUGAAAUGCGUAGAUAUCAGGAGGAACACCGAUGGCGAAGACAGGUCUCUGGGCUGACACUGACGCUCAUGCACGAAAGCGUGGGGAGCAAACAGG